Molecule: ribosomal RNA, 502 nt
Filed under: uncultured bacterium
Lineage: Bacteria
Description: partial 16S ribosomal RNA
Rfam family: Bacterial small subunit ribosomal RNA
Source: RNAcentral
AUUGAACGCUGGCGGCAGGCUUAACACAUGCAAGUCGAGCGGGGUGAUGGUGCUUGCACUAUCACUUAGCGGCGGACGGGUGAGUAAUGCUUAGGAAUCUGCCUAUUAGUGGGGGACAACAUCUCGAAAGGGAUGCUAAUACCGCGUACGUCCUACGGGAGAAAGCAGGGGAUCACUUGUGACCUUGCGCUAAUAGAUGAGCCUAAGUCGGAUUAGCUAGUUGGUGGGGUAAAGGCCUACCAAGGCGACGAUCUGUAGCGGGUCUGAGAGGAUGACCAGCCACACUGGAACUGAGACACGGUCCAGACUCCUACGGGAGGCAGCAGUGGGGAAUAUUGCACAAUGGGCGCAAGCCUGAUGCAGCCAUGCCGCGUGUAUGAAGAAGGCCUUCGGGUUGUAAAGUACUUUCAGCGGGGAGGAAGGUGUUGAGGUUAAUAACCUCAGCAAUUGACGUUACCCGCAGAAGAAGCACCGGCUAACUCCGUGCCAGCCGCCGCAGUAA